This 64-nucleotide small nucleolar RNA is filed under the name Euglena gracilis. Its description in RNAcentral is "Eg-p24 AGAUGN box pseudouridylation-guide". The record is from RNAcentral. Lineage: Eukaryota; Euglenozoa; Euglenophyceae; Euglenales; Euglenaceae.
CUGGCAAUAUUUUCAGGCGGAGCUCAGUCCCGUCUCUGCUCCGGAGUGCAAUUUGCCGAGAUUG